AAUGCCGGAAUAGCUCAGUUGGUAGAGCAGAGGACUGAAAAUCCUCGUGUCACCAGUUCA
This 60-nucleotide transfer RNA is filed under the name Adelothecium bogotense. RNAcentral's name for it is "partial tRNA-Phe". It matches the Rfam family "tRNA", at positions 1 to 55 of the family's 71-position model. From Rfam's summary of the family: Transfer RNA (tRNA) molecules are approximately 80 nucleotides in length. Their secondary structure includes four short double-helical elements and three loops (D, anti-codon, and T loops). The record is from RNAcentral. Lineage: Eukaryota; Viridiplantae; Streptophyta; Bryopsida; Hookeriales; Daltoniaceae.